UCAGGAUGAACGCUGGCGGGUGCNUAAUACAUGCAAGUCGAGCGAACUGAUUAGAAGCUUGNUUCUAUGAGUUAGCGGCGGACGGUGAGUAACACGUGGGCAACCUGCCUGUAAGAUUGGGAUAACUUCGGGAAACCGAAGCUAAUACCGGAUAGGAUCUUCUCCUUCAUGGGAGAUGAUUGAAAGAUGGUUUCGGCUAUCACUUACAGAUGGGCCCGCGGUGCAUUAGCUAGUUGGUGAGGUAACGGCUCACCAAGGCAACGAUGCAUAGCCGACCUGAGAGGGUGAUCGGCCACACUGGGACUGAGACACGGCCCAGACUCUUACGGGAGGCAGCAGUAGGGAAUCUUCCGCAAUGGACGAAAGUCUGACGGAGCAACGCCGCGUGAGUGAUGAAGGCUUUCGGGUCGUAAAACUCUGUUGUUAGGGAAGAACAAGUACGAGAGUAACUGCUNGUACCUUGACGGUACCUAACCAGAAAGCCACGGCUAACUACGUGCCAGCAGCCGCGGUAAUACGUAGGUGGCAAGCGUUAUCCGGAAUUAUUGGGCGUAAAGCGCGCGCAGGCGGUUUCUUAAGUCUGAUGUGAAAGCCCACGGCUCAACCGUGGAGGGUCAUUGGAAACUGGGGAACUUGAGUGCAGAAGAGAAAAGCGGAAUUCCCACGUGUAGCGGUGAAAUGCGUAGAGAUGUGGAGGAACACCAGUGGCGAAGGCGGCUUUUUGGUCUGUAACUGACNCNNAGGCGGGNAAGCGUGGGAGC
This 761-nucleotide ribosomal RNA is filed under the name soil bacterium is06. Its description in RNAcentral is "bacterial SSU rRNA". It matches the Rfam family "Bacterial small subunit ribosomal RNA", at positions 24 to 769 of the family's 1533-position model. The record is from RNAcentral.